GCAGGCUUAACACAUGCAAGUCGAGCGGGCGUAGCAAUACGUCAGCGGCAGACGGGUGAGUAACGCGUGGGAACGUACCUUUUGGUUCGGAACAACACAGGGAAACUUGUGCUAAUACCGGAUAAGCCCUUACGGGGAAAGAUUUAUCGCCGAAAGAUCGGCCCGCGUCUGAUUAGCUAGUUGGUGAGGUAAUGGCUCACCAAGGCGACGAUCAGUAGCUGGUUUGAGAGGAUGAUCAGCCACAUUGGGACUGAGACACGGCCCAAAC
RNAcentral lists this ribosomal RNA (268 nucleotides) under Bradyrhizobium sp. TAL1132. RNAcentral's name for it is "partial 16S ribosomal RNA". It matches the Rfam family "Bacterial small subunit ribosomal RNA", at positions 42 to 336 of the family's 1533-position model. RNAcentral also lists the same sequence under 1 other name. Lineage: Bacteria; Pseudomonadati; Pseudomonadota; Alphaproteobacteria; Hyphomicrobiales; Nitrobacteraceae. The record is from RNAcentral.